RNAcentral lists this ribosomal RNA (740 nucleotides) under uncultured bacterium. Its description in RNAcentral is "bacterial SSU rRNA". It matches the Rfam family "Bacterial small subunit ribosomal RNA", at positions 8 to 796 of the family's 1533-position model. The record is from RNAcentral.
AGAGUUUGAUCAUGGCUCAGAGCGAACGCUGGCGGCAGGCCUAAUACAUGCAAGUCGAGCGCACCUUCGGGUGAGCGGCGGACGGGUGAGUAACGCGUGGGAACGUGCCCUUUGGUACGGAACAACUGAGGGAAACUUCAGCUAAUACCGUAUGUGCCCUUCGGGGGAAAGAUUUAUCGCCAUUGGAGCGGCCCGCGUUGGAUUAGGUAGUUGGUGAGGUAAAGGCUCACCAAGCCUACGAUCCAUAGCUGGUCUGAGAGGAUGAUCAGCCACACUGGGACUGAGACACGGCCCAGACUCCUACGGGAGGCAGCAGUAGGGAAUCUUGCGCAAUGGGCGAAAGCCUGACGCAGCCAUGCCGCGUGAAUGAUGAAGGUCUUAGGAUUGUAAAAUUCUUUCACCGGGGAAGAUAAUGACGGUACCCGGAGAAGAAGCCCCGGCUAACUUCGUGCCAGCAGCCGCGGUAAUACGAAGGGGGCUAGCGUUGCUCGGAAUUACUGGGCGUAAAGGGCGCGUAGGCGGAUAGUUUAGUCAGAGGUGAAAGCCCAGGGCUCAACCCUGGAAUUGCCUUUGAUACUGGCUAUCUUGAGUUCGGGAGAGGUGAGUGGAACUCCGAGUGUAGAGGUGAAAUUCGUAGAUAUUCGGAAGAACACCAGUGGCGAAGGCGACUCACUGGCCCGAUACUGACGCUGAGGCGCGAAAGCGUGGGGAGCAAACAGGAUUAGAUACCCUAGUAGUCC